GGAGGGGUGGCCGAGUGGUUAAAGGCAGCAGACUGUAAAUCUGCCGGCGGAUGCCUACGUAGGUUCGAAUCCUACCCCCUCCACCA
Molecule: transfer RNA, 86 nt
Filed under: Alphaproteobacteria bacterium
Lineage: Bacteria; Pseudomonadati; Pseudomonadota; Alphaproteobacteria
Also listed under: 6 other names
Description: tRNA-Tyr
Rfam family: tRNA
About the family: Transfer RNA (tRNA) molecules are approximately 80 nucleotides in length.
Source: RNAcentral